AACUUGAGAGUUUGAUCAUGGCUCAGAACGUACGCUGGCGGCACGCCUAACACAUGCAAGUCGAACGAAGUAGCAAUACUUAGUGGCAGACGGGUGAGUAACAUGUAGGUAUCUGCCCUUUGGCCUGGAAUAACACGAGGAAACUUGUGCUAAUACCGGAUAAGUCUUUACGGAGAAAGCUUUAUGCACCAUUGGAUGAGCCUGCACUUGAUUAGUUUGUUGGUGGGGUAAUGGCCUACCAAGACUGUGAUCAAUAGCUGAUUUGAGAGGAUGAUCAGCCACAUUGGGACUGAGACACGGCCCAAACUCCUACGGGAGGCAGCAGUGGGGAAUCUUGCACAAUGGAGGAAACUCUGAUGCAGCGAUGCCGCGUGAGUGAAGAAGGCCCUUGGGUUGUAAAGCUCUUUCGUCGGGGAAGAAAAUGACUGUACCCGAAUAAGAAGGUCCGGCUAACUUCGUGCCAGCAGCCGCGGUAAUACGAAGGGACCUAGCGUAGUUCGGAAUUACUGGGCUUAAAGAGUUCGUAGGUGGUUGAAAAAGUUAGUGGUGAAAUCCCAGAGCUUAACUCUGGAACUGCCAUUAAAACUUUUCAGCUAGAGUAUGAUAGAGGAAAGCAGAAUUUCUAGUGUAGAGGUGAAAUUCGUAGAUAUUAGAAAGAAUACCAAUUGCGAAGGCAGCUUUCUGGAUCAUUACUGACACUGAGGAACGAAAGCAUGGGUAGCGAAGAGGAUUAGAUACCCUCGUAGUCCAUGCCGUAAACGAUGUGUGUUAGACGUUGGAAAUUUAUUUUCAGUGUCGCAGGGAAACCGAUAAACACACCGCCUGGGGAGUACGACCGCAAGGUUAAAACUCAAAUGAAUUGACGGGGACCCGCACAAGUAGUGGAGCAUGUGGUUUAAUUCGAAGAUACGCGCAGAACCUUACCAACACUUGACAUGUUCGUCGCGACUCUAAGAGAUUAGAGUUUUCGGUUCGGCCGGACGAAACACAGGUGCUGCAUGGCUGUCGUCAGCUCGUGUCGUGAGAUGUUGGGUUAAGUCCCGCAACGAGCGCAACCCUCACUUUUAGUUGCCAUCAUUAAGUUGGGCACUCUGAAAGAACUGCCAGUGAUAAGCUGGAGGAAGGUGGGGAUGACGUCAAGUCCUCAUGGCCCUUACGUGUUGGGCUACACACGUGCUACAAUGGUAUCUACAACAGGAAGCGAAACUGCGAAGUUAAGCAAAUCCCUAAAAGAUACCUCAGUUCGGAUUGCACUCUGCAACUCGAGUGCAUGAAGCUGGAAUUACUAGUAAUCGUGGAUCAGCGUGCCACGGUGAAUGCGUUCCCGGGUCUUGUACACACCGCCCGUCACACCAUGGGAGUUGGUUCUACCUUAAGGCAAGGUUUUAAACCCUUGACCACGGUAUAGUCAGCGACUGGGGUGAAGUCGUAACAAGGUAGCCGUAGGGGAACCUGCGGCUGGAUUACCUCCUUUCUAA
RNAcentral lists this ribosomal RNA (1478 nucleotides) under Pelagibacterales bacterium SAG-MED25. Its description in RNAcentral is "bacterial SSU rRNA". It matches the Rfam family "Bacterial small subunit ribosomal RNA". Lineage: Bacteria; Pseudomonadati; Pseudomonadota; Alphaproteobacteria; Candidatus Pelagibacterales. The record is from RNAcentral.